RNA transcript from Callithrix jacchus (white-tufted-ear marmoset), 1540 nucleotides. It is a transcript of the gene named cystatin-B pseudogene, with no coding region annotated. Lineage: Eukaryota; Metazoa; Chordata; Mammalia; Primates; Cebidae. The record is from RefSeq and is a predicted model, not a curated record.
CCGAAUAAAACAGACAUGGAUUUUCCUUUAUGGGGCUUACCAUUUGAUGUGAGAGAAGGACACUAAAUAGCUUGAAUAACUUAUUUGGAAGCAUUAUCAUCUAUAAUAUAAGAUGUACUAUGAGUAAAAUAAAGAAUUACAGUAAAAGAAAACAGAAAAUCAGGGGAGAUCUACUUAGGUGGGGUUUGAGCAGGGACGUCUUUACUAAGGAAGGAACAUUUAAGAAUCCUAAAGGAACAGAAGGAGGUGGCAACACAAAGUGGGAGCAGGCAGCAGAGAGUGAGCUUCCUGGGUGGAACACAGGCCCUGAGGCAGGAUAGAGGGCAGGAGAGGAAGAGGCUGGAGCAAAGUGGACAGGAGACCAGAAAGCCUUUUCUAUGCUAUGUGUCGUGUGUAUCUCUAAGAGUAAGGAUAAGCCCUGCUUCCCAAAAAGGUAUUAAAGAAUGUCAAAAUGGGAUGCGUCAACCAAGCCACUAAGAUGGAUGAGAUACCAGAUUCCAAAGUGAAAUGUCAGGUCUAGAUGCAGUUUUUCAAAGAACAUAGCCCAAAACACUCUUCACUGGUCUUAAACCUCUUACCCACGGUGAGGCUACAAGUAGGUCGGGCUCUUUGUUGGCGGUUAAAAGGAGAGAGUGUUUGAAGCAAGUGGGCUGCAGUCUGGUCCUAGCCUAAAGGACUAAGCUUAGGGAGAGGUAAGAGUAUCCUCUUCUUGCUUCUCUCCUUUCCAGCCUAGCGAGGGACUCAACAGGACUACCUGGAAACUGUGAGACUCUUAUGAUAUGGAAGGCACUGUGACCUUGUUUGGGACUUUGGCCUAAGGAAUCUGAAGAACUGGAGAGCUGGCUGGAUGCUGAUGGACAAGCCAAAAGAAACUAGACCUGCACUGGGAGCAGCCUGUCCUCUCCCUGUUCGUGGGAACAAAGAGGAAGACAAAUGUGUUUCAGGAAGGAAUGCCUAUCACUGGGAACCACCACCAAGCUCAGCUCUGAUCCUCCUGAAACAAGCUCUGACUGAGUUCCCAAUAUUGUGUCUUCUGAGUCUUCUUAGAUGUCACCAUAACAGGAUUCCCAGCACACUUAUCUGGCACCAAGCUGAGAAGACCAGAGCCUCAACCCAUACUCAGCAGGAAACUCAAGGAGUAUCAAUGGAAGGACAGGGGCCUCUUUAACUCCACCCAUUCAAUCUCCCAUUGUCUUAUGUGUCAUGAAAAGCAAAUCUUAACAUGCAAGGCAGUAAAACAUGACAUGGAACUCAUCUUCAAUAAACUGGCACUUUGGUUAAACAAAUGUGGAAAAGUCAACAGCCACAUCAUCCUUCUAUGCCAGGGGUUUUAGUAAGUCAACAUACACUGACCAAGUCUUUCUGAUACUGGAAAUACUGCUUACCAAAUCUACACCACCUGAAAGAAGGACCUUUGGAGCUGAAGCAGAAAGAGAAAAGAUCCUCAAACCCGACACUGAGAGGUAUGCGGCAGCAGAGAAAGGUCACAAGACUGGGGUUGGAUGGUUCUGCAGUCACGUCUCAGCUCUGCUGGGCCUCA